Molecule: ribosomal RNA, 498 nt
Filed under: uncultured bacterium
Lineage: Bacteria
Description: partial 16S ribosomal RNA
Rfam family: Bacterial small subunit ribosomal RNA
Source: RNAcentral
GGAUGAACGCUGGCGGCGUGCCUAAUCCAUGCAAGUCGAGCGAACAGACGAGGAGCUUGCUCCUCUGACGUUAGCGGCGGACGGGUGAGUAACACGUGGAUAACCUACCUAUAAGACUGGGAUAACUUCGGGAAACCGGAGCUAAUACCGGAUAAUAUAUUGAACCGCAUGGUUCAAUAGUGAAAGACGGUUUUGCUGUCACUUAUAGCUGGAUCCGCGCCGCAUUAGCUAGUUGGUAAGGUAACGGCUUACCAAGGCAACGAUGCGUAGCCGACCUGAGAGGGUGAUCGGCCACACUGGAACUGAGACACGGUCCAGACUCCUACGGGAGGCAGCAGUAGGGAAUCUUCCGCAAUGGGCGAAAGCCUGACGGAGCAACGCCGCGUGAGUGAUGAAGGUCUUCGGAUCGUAAAACUCUGUUAUUAGGGAAGAACAAAUGUGUAAGUAACUAUGCACGUCUUGACGGUACCUAAUCAGAAAGCCACGGCUAACUACGUG